Chenopodium quinoa (quinoa) is the source of this 3369-nucleotide RNA transcript. It is a transcript of the gene named protein ALP1-like, with no coding region annotated. NCBI's taxonomy places the organism in Eukaryota, Viridiplantae, Streptophyta, Magnoliopsida, Caryophyllales, Amaranthaceae. The transcript has 3 exons. The record is from RefSeq and is a predicted model, not a curated record.
AUUCCCUUUGUUGUUAUUUAUUUGUCAUCAUCUAUCAUUUCCUUUACCCUUUUUAAUUUUUGUGUUUACCCAAAUAUCUUUUACACCCAUUCCCCUCCCUCCCCCCUCCAACUUUACCAUUCCCAUUCCCCUCUCAUUACCCAUCACUCUCUCUCCUCUCUUACCCUAAAAAAUUCCCAGCAGCCGUCACCCCUCACCGGAGCUCCGGCCACCACGACAACCAACUGAGAUUGUACACCGGCGACCAUAUCCGGCCGAUCCCCACAAGCUACGAUCUUUGGCGACCGUAAUAUUCAUGUUUUCGUUCUAGAUCUACCUUAAUCAUGUUGUUUUUUUGUUUUAUUCUUAAAUUGUUGGGUAAUUUAUACAUUAUUCCUAAUUCUUGAGGAAUUGUUCACGUUAUCAGCCACCUCCAUAGUGAUUGAUGUUAAUUUGUUGUUCAGUGUUGCGAUUUGAAGGGUUUACCAUACUGAUUUUUUUUUGGUUGUGAAUUACGAAACAAUGUAUAUUUGUUGAUUUUUUUUCCUCCUUGAAUGAAUGAUAAUUUGAUGUUUAUAUAUACUAAUGUUCAUGUAUAUGUAUAUAUUUGUUUAGCUUGAGAUUUUUAUAUAUCUUGAGUAUAAAUGAUAUGUAAAUUAGUCAAUGAUAUGUUGUUGUUGAUGUUCUUUUCUACAGAAAAUGGCUAGAAUUGAUACUUCUUUGAAAAGGAAGAGAAAUUGGGACUUUAUUCGGUUCAUAAUUACUAUGAUUAAUUGUGUUGUGUUGCUAAAUUUGAUGUGUUACUCAAUGAGAAAAACUAUAUACAAUUCCCAUUAUCUUAAGCUAGAUAAAAAAAAUAGAAGGAAAAUGAGAUUGCACAACUUGAAUAGAAUGAUUAGAGAAAGUGACACUUUGUGUAGGAACUAUUUUCGUAUAAAUCGAUACACAUUUGGUGUACUUUUAGAAAUGGUUAGAGAUAUUGGUGGAUUCAAUGAAACAAGAAACACAUGUUUGGAAGAGAUGGUUGCGGGCUUCUUAUACACAUUAGCUCACGAUAAGAAAAAUAGAAUGAUUGGUGCACAUUUUUAUAGAAGUGGUGAAACUAUUAGUAGACAAUUUCAUUCUUUUUUGUUAGCAAUGUUAAAGUUACAUAGUAUUCUUCUUAAGAAACCAACUCCAAUACAAGAGGAUUGCGACGAUGAAAGGUGGAAAUAUUUCAAGGUGCCCUUGAUGGUACAAUGAUUCUAGUUAAUGUUCCUUGUGAAGAUCGAUCCAAAUAUCGCACUAGAAAAGGUACCCUUGCUAUGAAUGUACUAGGAGUAUGCUCACCCGAAAUGGAAUUUAUAUAUGUCUUACCUGGUUGGGAGGGAUCGGCACAUGAUGGUCAGAUUCUUCAAGAUGCUAUUUCUAGGCCUAAUGGGUUGAAAGUUCCAAAAGGUAAUUUGAUUGACGUAGUAGACUUUAUUUGAAAUUGACUUAAUAAGAGAGUAAUUUUUAAAAAAAAAAUUGUCAAGGUUGUUAUUAUCUAUGUGACGGAGGAUAUACUAAUGGAGAGGGAUUCCUUGCACCAUAUAUAGGGCAUCUUUAUCAUCUUAGAGAAUGGAAUAAUGGCCCCCGUCAACCUUAAACCGUCGAAUAAUAUUUCAACUUAAGGCAUGCAAAAGCUAGAAAUGUGAUUGAGAGAUGCUUUGGGAUACUCAAGGGAAGAUGGGGAAUUCUUAGAAGUCCUUCUUGGUUUAGGUUACAAACUCAUGGUCGAAUUGUGCUUGCUUGUGUCUUAUUACAUAACUUGGUAAAAAGAUACAUGCUUGAAGAAUUUGAUGAUGAUGACUUGUUUGAGGAAAGUGAUAGUGAUGAUGAUGAUGGUAAUGCUAGUGAUGAAGAUGAUGUGGAGUACAUAACCUCCAUUGCUGUAACCGAUCCAUGGACUAAUUUUCAAAAUACAAUGGCCCAAAAUAUGUUCAAUGAUUGGAGGACUAGACACCGCAGAGUUACUUUGUGAUAUUUUUAUUGUUUAUUAAACAACAUUGUAUUUGUUAUUUGAACUUGAGACUUGUAUCUUUAUUUCAAUUUCGUGUUUUUUUUUUAUUGUUGUACUAAGUCAUGGAUGUUGUGUUGGACUUAUAAUAAUUUCCUUUAUGUACUUGUAUUGAAUAUUUUGUUUGUUAAUUUCAUUUUUAUAUAUAUGCAAUGUUAUUUUGACAUGUUAAUAUGGUUCAAAUGUUUUAGUAGGAUGGAUGAAAGUAGUGGAGGUGGAAAGGGAAAAAAUAAACGAUUUUGGACCGCUCAAGAAGAUAAAGUUCUUGUAGAAGUAUUGUCAGAGCUAGCUAUUGAUCCUCAUUGAAAGUGUGAAAAUGGGUUCAGAAGUGGCUACAUGGUUUGCUUAGAGGAGAUCAUAGGUAAGGCUCUUUCUGGUUGUGGGUUGAAGGCUAUGCCACACAUCGAUUCUCGACUAAAGACACUUGGAGCAAAGUUUAGGGCUAUUUCUACUACGUUAAAUACAAGUGGAUUUGUUUGGGAUGAUUCCAAAAAAAAUGGUUUCUGUGGACCGGGCUGUUUAUGAUGAGUUUUGCAAGAAACAUCCAAGCUGCAAAAACUUGUAUGGAGUUUCAUUUCCCCACUUCCAUGAACUCAUGAAUGUUUAUGGCAAGAAUUAUGCAACUGGAAAACCAGCCCCCCACAGGUUUUACUCUAUUCAAGUGAUGAUAAGGGAGUUGCUGCUAGUGGUAAUGUCACUCAUACCGUUACCUUUCCUCCUUCAAAAAAGAUGAAGACUGAAAAAACUUCCAAAAAAAAAAAAGAAAGAAAAAGGUGGAGCUGGAAGUAAUGAGUUGGCUAGCUUACAAGCAUUCAUGAAAGACAUGAAUGUUCAUCUUUCCACUAUGGCAAAUGUGAUGGCACGCACUGAUGAUCGUGAACAACAUGCGGAUGAAAGAGAGCAAAAAUUAGUUGAAAAGAGUGAGCAAGUGCUAGAGGAACUACUCUCUUUCAAUUUAGAAGGUGUCACGGAAUCCCAAGUUUUUGAAGUGGCUAACAUUCUAACCGCACAACCAAACAAGCUCAUGGUAUUUUCAAAGUGUCCCGACGUUUUGAAAAGUGCUUAUGUUAAGAGUCUUCUACGAGGAAGUGGAAAUGGUGAUGCUUAAAUCUUAUGUGGUGGUUUCAUGUAUGGUUUUUAAUUAGGUUUUAUUCACAAGCUACUACUUUUGGCAUGAACUUUAUCUAGAAAGGAUUAUUAGCAAAUACUUAGGUUGAAUGUUAAUCUUAUUAGAACACUUUUGGUAUGAACAUUUAUUUAGGAACACGUACUUUGCAUUGGUAUUAUUUUCGCCAAGAGGUGAUUACUUGGAUUUGUAAUCAAUAGAGCUAGAAAGAUAUUAUUUGGAGAUA